GAUCGCCUCCGCUUGCUUCUCUUCUCUCUCCCCUUUAUCUCCCCGCUUCUCCAAUGGAAGACCCUCGCGAAUCCUCGCCAUGGCGCCCAAACAGAAGGCACCUUUCCUUUCCUCUUCUGACCUCCAAUCUUUCAUCUCUCUGAUGGUGCGCUGUUGCAGGUCAACCGAUACGACGACAACUGGAAGAAGCAAUGGUACGGAGCGGGUCUCUUCGCGGAGGGAAGCGAGGAGUUGUCCGUCGACGUCGUGAAGAAGCUGGAGACGCGCAAGGUGCUAUCCGGCGUGGAGAAAUCCGGGCUGCUCUCCAAGGCGGAGGAGCUC
RNAcentral lists this long non-coding RNA (321 nucleotides) under Musa acuminata (dwarf banana). RNAcentral's name for it is "long non-coding RNA (MACU_LNC001679)". The record is from RNAcentral. Lineage: Eukaryota; Viridiplantae; Streptophyta; Magnoliopsida; Zingiberales; Musaceae.